UUCUCCUACCAUCGCCCAUAUACUAGAAUUUCUCUACUCUCUAUUCCCAUAUUAUCACCAUUGUUAUCUUACCUUUAAUAUUGUUCUUAUUCAAUUCGACCAUCUUUCCUAUUUACACCUAUCUAUCUAUCUUGGUUAAGUUAGAGCGUAGAUCAAUUCUCCCGUUUCCCUAUGGAUACGAUAAAACCUUUAACUGGGUAAAAGCUACAACGGUAUCCGUGC
RNAcentral lists this long non-coding RNA (222 nucleotides) under Sorghum bicolor (sorghum). Its description in RNAcentral is "long non-coding RNA (SBIC_LNC010252)". Lineage: Eukaryota; Viridiplantae; Streptophyta; Magnoliopsida; Poales; Poaceae. The record is from RNAcentral.